This is a non-coding RNA of Phrynosoma platyrhinos (Desert horned lizard), 72 nucleotides long. NCBI's taxonomy places the organism in Eukaryota, Metazoa, Chordata, Lepidosauria, Squamata, Phrynosomatidae. The record is from the annotation of a GenBank genome assembly.
GCCAGCCUGGCGUAGUGGUUUGAGUGGCAGACUGCAACUCUGGAGAUCAGGGUUCGAUUCUCUGCUCGAACA